UACGGAGGGUGCAAGCGUUAUCCGGAAUCACUGGGUUUAAAGGGUGCGUAGGCGGGGAAUUAAGUCAGUGGUGAAUGCCUGUCGCUUAACGAUAGAAUUGCCAUUGAUACUGAUUUUCUUGAAUUGGGUUGAGGUUAGCGGAAUGUGACAUGUAGCGGUGAAAUGCAUAGAUAUGUCAUGGAACACCAAUUGCGAAGGCAGCUAGCUGGGCCUUGAUUGACGCUGAGGCACGAAAGCGUGGGUAGCGAACAGG
RNAcentral lists this ribosomal RNA (253 nucleotides) under uncultured bacterium. RNAcentral describes it as "partial 16S ribosomal RNA". It matches the Rfam family "Bacterial small subunit ribosomal RNA", at positions 524 to 776 of the family's 1533-position model. The record is from RNAcentral.